This 590-nucleotide ribosomal RNA is filed under the name uncultured bacterium. RNAcentral describes it as "partial 16S ribosomal RNA". It matches the Rfam family "Bacterial small subunit ribosomal RNA", at positions 355 to 1376 of the family's 1533-position model. The record is from RNAcentral.
UGGGGAAUCUUCCGCAAUGGACGAAAGUCUGACGGAGCAACGCCGCGUGAGUGAAGAAGGUUUUCGGAUCGUAAAACUCUGUCUUUUGGGGCGAACGUGAGUAUGGUGAACAAUCAUAGUCAGUGACGGUACCAAAGGAGGAAGCCACGGCUAACUACGUGCCAGCAGCCGCGGUAAUACGUAGGUGGCAAGCGUUGCCCGGAAUUAUUGGGCGUAAAGAGCGCGUAGGCGGGAUAGUCAGUCUGUUGUAAAAGUGCGGGGCUCAACCCCGUGAUCGCAAUGGAAACAGCUAUUCUUGAGUGCAGGAGAGGAAAGUGGAAUUCCCAGUGUAGCGGUGAAAUGCGUAGAUAUUGGGAGGAACACCAGUGGCGAAGGCGACUUUCUGGACUGUGUCUGACGCUGAGGCGCGAAAGCCAGGGGAGCGAACGGGAUUAGAUACCCCGGUAGUCCUGGCCGUAAACGAUGGGUACUAGGUGUGGGAGGUAUCGACCCCUUCCGUGCCGGAGUUAACGCAAUAAGUACCCCCGCCUGGGGAGUACGGUCGCAAGACUGAAACUCAAAUGAAUUGACGGGGUCAUAGCUGUUUCCUG